CAGUCGCCGCGGGAAUACGUAGGUGGCAAGCGUUGUCCGGAAUUAUUGGGCGUAAAGGGCUCGCAGGCGGUUUCUUAAGUCUGAUGUGAAAGCCCCCGGCUCAACCGGGGAGGGUCAUUGGAAACUGGGAAACUUGAGUGCAGAAGAGGAGAGUGGAAUUCCACGUGUAGCGGUGAAAUGCGUAGAGAUGUGGAGGAACACCAGUGGCGAAGGCGACUCUCUGGUCUGUAACUGACGCUGAGGAGCGAAAGCGUGGGGAGCGAACAGGAUUAGAGACCCGAGUAGUCCCUGUCUCUUAUAC
This 301-nucleotide ribosomal RNA is filed under the name uncultured bacterium. RNAcentral's name for it is "partial 16S ribosomal RNA". It matches the Rfam family "Bacterial small subunit ribosomal RNA", at positions 509 to 807 of the family's 1533-position model. The record is from RNAcentral.